RNAcentral lists this ribosomal RNA (1229 nucleotides) under metagenome. RNAcentral's name for it is "SSU rRNA". It matches the Rfam family "Eukaryotic small subunit ribosomal RNA", at positions 565 to 1823 of the family's 1831-position model. The record is from RNAcentral.
UGCCAGCAGCCGCGGUAAUUCCAGCUCCGCAAGUGUAUAUCUAUGUUGCUGCGGUUAAAAAGCUCGUAGUUGGAUCUGCGUGUUUAGCGUCCGGUUCGACUUUUGGUCGUUACUGGAACGCGACACAGAUGUGCUGGUUUGCCGUUGAUGCUCUUAAUCGGGUGUCAGUGGCGGCUAGCGAGUUUACUUUGAAAAAAUUAGAGUGCUCAAAACAGGCGUUUCGCCUGAAUAUUUCUGCAUGGAAUAAUAGAAUAGGACUUCGAUUCUAUUCUGUUGGUUUUCGGAAUGCGAAGUAAUGAUUAAGAGGGACAGACGGGGGCAUUCGUACUGCGACGUUAGAGGUGAAAUUCUUGGAUCGUCGCAAGACGUACUACUGCGAAGGCAUUUGCCAAGAAUGUUUUCACUAAUCAAGAACGAAAGCUAUGGGUUCGAAGGCGAUCAGAUACCGCCCUAGUCAUAACCGUAGACGAUUCAAACUGGGCGCCCGACGGUGUUUUUAUUGACCCGUCGGGAACCCUCCCGGAAACGAAAGUGUUCGUGUUCCGGGGGAAAUAUGUCUGCAAAGAGGAAACUUAAAGGAAUUGACGGAAGGGCACCACCAGGGGUGGAGCCUGCGGCUUAAUUUGACUCAACACGGGGAAACUCACCCGGCCCGGACACCGUAAGGAUUGACAGAUUGAGAGCUCUUUCUUGAUUCGGUGGGUGGUGGUGCAUGGCCGUUCUUAGUUGGUGGAGUGAUUUGUCUGGUUUAUUCCGAUAACGAACGAGACUCUGGCCUGCUAACUAGUGUUCACAUCUUUACGUGUGCUUCGCUUCUUAGAGGGACAGGCGGCUUCCAGCCGCAUGAAGAAGAGCAAUAACAGGCCUGUGAUGCCCUUAGAUGUCCGGGGCUGCACGCGCGCUACACUGAAAGAAUCAGCGUGUACGUUACCUGGCUCGAAAGAGUCGGGUAAUCCGGUGAAAAUCUUUCGUGAUUGGGAUCGGGACUUGCAAUUAUUUCCCUUGAACGAGGAAUCCCUAGUAAGUGCGGGUCAUCAGCUCGCGCUGAUUACGUCCCUGCCCUUUGUACACACCGCCCGUCGCUGCCCGGAACUGAGCCGUUUCGAGAAAAAUGGGGACUGUCUACUUGAGGUCUUCACGGACUUUUUGUAAAUGGAAACCGCUUUAAUCGCAGCGGCUUGAACCGGGCAAAAGUCGUAACAAGGUUUCCGUAGGUGAACCUGCGGAAG